AUGUGCUGCAGGGUGUCGGGGAAACUGAGGCACGGAGCUACAGCUGGGCCACGAGGAGGGCUGCGGCUCCCCGGGGACAUCCCGCAGCGGAGUUCAAGGCUCAGCGGGUCGAUAUCCAGAUGGAGAGGGCAGACAGGCGGGGCUGCGGGGACGCAGAACGGGGCUGCGGGGCAAGGCUGGAGGGCAGCGGUGUCGGGGUGCACAGCAGGGCUUUGGGGUGCAAAACAGGGCUGUGGGGGUGCUAAGCAGGGUUCUGGGGGUGAACAACAGGGCUAUUGGGGUGCACAACAGGGCUCUGGGGUGCGAAAUAGGGCCGUGAGGGUGCAAAACAGGGUUGGGGGUGCACAACAGGGCUCUGGGGUGCACAAUAGGGCUGCAGACCUGGGGGUCGCGGGGCUGCUGGCUCGGCCAGGUCUGGCCAGGCUCGUCGGGGGGUCCGGGGGGGCCCGGCAGUGGUGGCGGUGGCGUGGACAGGCUGACCCACGGGUUGAAGGUCAGGGCUCUGUGCUCAGACCCCUUUUCAGAUUCAAAUGGGCUCCUGGGGGCUUUGUGCGCGGGGUCAGGCUUCACCGAGAGCCGCAUGAAAGGGCCGGGGCGGCCGGGGCGGCUUUCAAGUCCCUGGGUGCCGGGGACGGGGCGGGGGGGGGAGCCCAGACGGAGGCGCCACCACCCCAAUCCUGGCUGCGGAGACCCCCCCAAAAACCUGGGCACACCCUGGGCCUCUGCCAAGGCGCUGCCACCUGCCACCGGGCUGCUGGCACGGCACGGCACAGUGCAGCGUGGCACGGCACGGCACGGCACAGGACAGCUUGGCACCCCGCAGCACCGACAGCAAAGCCCUGGGCACCCCAGGAAGCAGCUGUAGGGUGCAGGCUCCCACCCCACAGCACGGCACGGCCGCCCCGGCUCCCUUUGUCCUUCGCCUCCCCGAGCAGCUCGCACGCCCUCGGCACGCACGCACAUGCCCGCACACAGGAUCCGGCCCCGGGAACGCGGCGAUAA
This 1002-nucleotide long non-coding RNA is filed under the name Anser cygnoides (Swan goose). RNAcentral's name for it is "lncRNA (ENSACDG00005017906.1)". The record is from RNAcentral. Lineage: Eukaryota; Metazoa; Chordata; Aves; Anseriformes; Anatidae.